GCUGGCGGCAUGCCUAACACAUGCAAGUCGAACGAGACCUUCGGGUCUAGUGGCGCACGGUGCGUAACGCGUGGGAAUCUGCCCCUUGGUUCGGAAUAACAGCGAGAAAUUGCUGCUAAUACCGGAUAAUGACGUAAGUCCAAAGAUUUAUCGCCAAGGGAUGAGCCCGCGUAGGAUUAGCUAGUUGGUGUGGUAAAGGCGCACCAAGGCGACGAUCCUUAGCUGGUCUGAGAGGAUGAUCAGCCACACUGGGACUGAGACACGGCCCAGACUCCUACGGGAGGCAGCAGUGGGGAAUAUUGGACAAUGGGCGAAAGCCUGAUCCAGCAAUGCCGCGUGAGUGAUGAAGGCCUUAGGGUUGUAAAGCUCUUUUACCCGGGAUGAUAAUGACAGUACCGGGAGAAUAAGCUCCGGCUAACUCCGUG
Molecule: ribosomal RNA, 425 nt
Filed under: uncultured bacterium
Lineage: Bacteria
Description: bacterial SSU rRNA
Rfam family: Bacterial small subunit ribosomal RNA
Source: RNAcentral